RNAcentral lists this ribosomal RNA (427 nucleotides) under uncultured bacterium. RNAcentral's name for it is "partial 16S ribosomal RNA". It matches the Rfam family "Bacterial small subunit ribosomal RNA", at positions 355 to 774 of the family's 1533-position model. The record is from RNAcentral.
UGGGGAAUAUUGCACAAUGGGCGCAAGCCUGAUCCAGCCAUGCCGCGUGUGUGAAGAAGGUCUUCGGAUUGUAAAGCACUUUAAGUUGGGAGGAAGGGCAUUAACCUAAUACGUUAGUGUUUUGACGUUACCGACAGAAUAAGCACCGGCUAACUCUGUGCCAGCAGCCGCGGUAAUACAGAGGGUGCAAGCGUUAAUCGGAAUUACUGGGCGUAAAGCGCGCGUAGGUGGUUUGUUAAGUUGGAUGUGAAAUCCCCGGGCUCAACCUGGGAACUGCAUUCAAAACUGACUGACUAGAGUAUGGUAGAGGGUGGUGGAAUUUCCUGUGUAGCGGUGAAAUGCGUAGAUAUAGGAAGGAACACCAGUGGCGAAGGCGACCACCUGGACUGAUACUGACACUGAGGUGCGAAAGCGUGGGGAGCAAACA